GAAAAUGCAAUGAAGAGGAGAGUAGUUUCGCCAAGUCAUUUCAGGGAAUCCCGGUAAGUGAGAAGGGAUAAUGAUCACCGAAACGAAAGUAGCCUUUGAGCAGUAAAUGCGAAGUAAUGAGUGUUUACGGAGAGCACGCCUUAAAGUGCCAGUGUAUCGUUGAGUAAAAUCAGCCGUACAUGAUAAGGUAAUUUGUGAGAACAAAUUAUAAAUUAAGGUGGUACAGUGCUAAAGCGCCCUUGAU
This 244-nucleotide non-coding RNA is filed under the name Levilactobacillus brevis. Its description in RNAcentral is "Lactobacillus brevis T-box sequence". It matches the Rfam family "T-box leader". From Rfam's summary of the family: Uncharged tRNA acts as the effector for transcription antitermination of genes in the T-box leader family. T-boxes are found upstream of many aminoacyl-tRNA synthetase genes and some amino acid biosynthetic genes usually in Gram-positive bacteria. The anticodon of a specific tRNA base pairs to a specifier sequence within the T-box motif, and the NCCA acceptor tail of the tRNA base pairs to a conserved bulge in the T-box antiterminator hairpin. Lineage: Bacteria; Bacillati; Bacillota; Bacilli; Lactobacillales; Lactobacillaceae. The record is from RNAcentral.